This 62-nucleotide transfer RNA is filed under the name Pomphorhynchus rocci. Its description in RNAcentral is "tRNA-Val". Lineage: Eukaryota; Metazoa; Acanthocephala; Palaeacanthocephala; Echinorhynchida; Pomphorhynchidae. The record is from RNAcentral.
UGCUGAAAAGUUGUAAUUAAUGUCUCAUUUACAUCGAGUUGAAGGCUUAGGCUAUUUGGCGG